This is a long non-coding RNA of Magnolia sinica, 850 nucleotides long. RefSeq lists it as uncharacterized. The record is from RefSeq and is a predicted model, not a curated record. The transcript has 2 exons. Lineage: Eukaryota; Viridiplantae; Streptophyta; Magnoliopsida; Magnoliales; Magnoliaceae.
UUCUCUUUCUUGUGCUUGCCCUGUAGUGGGAAUUAUUGGGCCAUGAUGCACCAGGAUGUGCCCUUCAUAAUAGAACACAAUUACAUUGUCAAUGUAAGAGCUUGAUAACUAAGUUAAAUAUUAGCAUUUAGCUUUAGAUCAUUUCUAGUAAGGACUUAUUUGGCAAUCUGGGAUUCGAGGCAUCUGGAAUUGGAUUCCCAAGUAAAACUCCCUUUUCAAUUCAUCAAGAGGCUAAUAUUCCAGCUUAAAAGUCAAGGUUUAUGUGCUAUUUUGUUGAUAUAAUUUAGAAAAUUUUCUGCAUCAGUAUGCAAUCAUUCUUCAAAGCAUCUUCUUUUAUCAGAUGUUAUCAGUUGUUCUUUCUCUUUAUUCAAUUUCUUUAGUGCUAUUCAAUUUUUUCUCAUGCCUCAUCUUGAAAUAAGGUUUUUCUAAUGGAGUUAUUUUGUUAUAGCCAGGGAGUUCAUCAUGUUUCAGAGGAUUUUGUUGCCAAGCAAUUGAGGUCCAUGCUUUCUGAUAUGUAGGUUGAUAUGGUUGCAGUUGAACACAACAUUGAGCAUGCAACAAGAAAAUAGAUUGAAGCAGAUGGGUGCAAUGGUGAGGAAUGUUUGUUUGUAACUAGAAAGACUGAAGAUGAAUGAGCAGAGGGAAAUGUUAGCAAAGACUACAGUGGGAAAAAUGUCUAUAGAGCAGUUAAUCUGAUCUGUAGCACAAGGCAGCUCUCAAACUUGUGCAGAAAGCAACAGGAAGCAGAACUUUGCUUAGUGUUAUUUGUGUCUGUUUUGUUAGUUUAAAUAGACGGUAACUAUUUGUUGGUAUUGUGUUUUUAUGCUUAGUGUUAUUUGUGUGUGUAGUA